This 426-nucleotide ribosomal RNA is filed under the name uncultured bacterium. RNAcentral describes it as "bacterial SSU rRNA". It matches the Rfam family "Bacterial small subunit ribosomal RNA", at positions 356 to 774 of the family's 1533-position model. The record is from RNAcentral.
AGGGAAUAUUGGACAAUGGGGGCAACCCUGAUCCAGCCAUGCCGCGUGAGUGAAGAAGGCCCUCGGGUUGUAAAGCUCUUUUGUCGGGAAAGAAAAGCUUCGGGUUAAUACCCCGGGGUUCUGACGGUACCGGAAGAAUAAGCACCGGCUAACUUCGUGCCAGCAGCCGCGGUAAUACGAAGGGUGCAAGCGUUACUCGGAAUUACUGGGCGUAAAGCGUGCGCAGGCGGUUUUGUAAGACAGAUGUGAAAUCCCCGGGCUUAACCUGGGAACUGCGUUUGUGACUGCAAGGCUGGAGUACGGCAGAGNGGGGUGGAAUUCCACGUGUAGCAGUGAAAUGCGUAGAGAUGUGGAGGAACACCGAUGGCGAAGGCAGCCCCCUGGGCCUGUACUGACGCUCAUGCACGAAAGCGUGGGGAGCAAACA